UUACAACGAAGGUUUCUCUCCAAACUCAGGGUGUGUGAAAACAGCCCUUCACACAAUACAAAUAAUUCUAACCACCAAGACAAGUGGAUAGAGACUCUGGACACAGCUAUGCGUUGAAGCAGAGCGAACAUGAAGGGGGCUCCCAAGAAGGCUGUGGAGAGGAUCUUGUUCACUGCAUCUACUUCCUCACUGCUGCUGGAAGUUCCACCACUACAGCACAGUUCACAGACCUCAGUGCACGACAUUAAGGGGGAAAAGGCUAACAGAGGAAGGUCCAACCCAGCCAAUGUUCACCAGUAAAAGGUGAUUUAUUAGGAGAAAAAUAGAACAGCCUGCCUCCAAUUGACAGCCCUUGCAACCAGAUCCGCAAUUAAAGCUGAACUGUGCAAUCUUUGCAUUUAAAGGAAAAUCAAUGGCAUCGAUUGAAUCAAGCAAAAUAAAAAACACCACCAAGGGCAAAGAUAUGGAAGAAUGAGAGUCUGUGCAUUUCAGAUGAGAAAACUGAAGCAUGAGAGAGUAAGCAGCUGGCCAAGAUUACAUAGUGAGUAAGGAGAGCUGGAUUCAACUGUAGCUCCAGAACCUGUUCUCUUAACCACACUGUACCACCCCUUGAUGCAAAGGGUACAUUCUGGACAGUUUAUUGUUGAGUGAUAUGCAUGCUGUGCAUCUUUAAGGGAGAAAAAUGCUAUUCUAUUUUUAAGACAAUAUUCUUUUUAAGAGUAUAAGUAGUCUAUAUAAUUUAUCUUUAGGGAAUUAUUUCUAGUGAAUUGAUUAAAACAUGGCUUGUAUUCUGCCCGAGAUUGGUUUAAUUAUAUCAGCACAGCUGCAAGGAGCAAAGAUGAGAGAUGGCCUAUGAUGCUUUGUUGACUUUUUUUUUUUUUUUUUUUUACUUUGGGAAUGAUCUGUCCAGGUACUCUGAUUUUGAAGACAGCUCUCCCUGGAAAUCCUCUGGACAAGAGAACUCAUAUUUUCACACCCUAUAACCUUUCCAUUGCAAAAGGCAAACCUUCCCUCCCAAUAUCAGCUCUUCCCCACACCCUUUCUUCUCCAUGCCCUUGAAACUAGCAGCUCCAGAAUUUCACAGUCAGCCCAGCCUUCGUGCUGGUUUCAAUGGCUGCUGCUCUUCUUAAAACCUAUAAUAUUGGCACGCCACAAUGGACUCAAUAAACAAGAACAGUCUGAAAGGAAUAGAUGAGACAGGGACUCAAUAUUUUCCCCUAGAUGGUUCUAAAAUACCCUCCACACCAUGUGUGUCUUUUUGUUCAUAGAUGUGUGUGUAUGUGUGUGCCUAAAUAGCCAAAUCUCACCUGUCUCAGAACAUUUAUUUUUUCUAUUAUAUCCUGCAAGUUGUAACACCAAGAUGAAGAGGGAGAUAUAAAAGGAGCUGCUUUUUUGGAGCUGAUAUACUUUUGGCCAAAGCUUAUAGAUUCUUAGUCAUGUAUAAAUCUCAUUCCAAUGUAGGGCUUUCAUGACUAUAAACACUUUUCUGCCUUUCUUUUCAUUCAAAAUCUGAGUUUAACUCAUUGAGUUUAACCACAUUUUACUUUAAUCUGUUCCCUACAAACUAUAAGCUUCAUUUAUUCAUUCAAGAAAUAUUUAUUGAUCCCCUAUUAUGUACUAGCCUGUAUAGGAUGCUGGGGACCAUUAGGUGGGCAAAAUAGAAGCUAAUAGGAGAUAAUUGCCCUUCAUGAGGCCUGUAGUCUUAGUGGCAGAGACAAAUAUAAUAAAGGGGCAUGCAUUAAUUGUUAAAUAAUUCAAUUUGGGAUAUGUUCCACUCCAGUGGACUUCUGAUUUUGCAUCUCCAGCAUUUAUUUACUGUUACAAAUAGCAGCCAGCACUUUCCUUUUCUUUUUCUUUCAUUUUGUAAACUACCUCAGCCACUUAUAGGUGGUAUGGUUUGGGGCUCUUCCCAGGCUCUAAGGGUGCACAAAUGUUCUAGACAUCGCCACCAACCUCUGUGAUUAGUUCCAAAAUGAGCAGGUGACCGAGAUCUAUCCAGCGACAAGACUAUCAUGGGAACUAUUGGUGCAGAAAUGCUCUGCCAAAGGUCUCCCUGAAAACUGAGCCAAGAUAAGAAUGAUGAAUGGCCAAGAAGAAAGCAGGCUGGAAAUAUGUCCAUCAGUGGAGUCUUCAUGAUGUGAAUCCAGCUGGGCCUGAAGUUAUCUAACUUUAGUCUUCUUGGUUACACCACUCAAUAUGGUUUUUUUCCCUUAAAUCAAUGUGAUUGGAUUUCUUUCCCUUGCCAUCAAAAACACCUUGACUAAACACAGCCACUAGGGGAAAGUGCAGGAUGAUGUGAGAGAAUAUGACGCAAGUCUUGGUUUUAUUCAUAAUUGUUCUAAACUCUGAAGUAUGAAUAGCAGUGAGCAAGCUGAGAAAGAAGUAGACAUGAAGUUAGGAACAAUGUCUGAGCCUGUUCAUGGCUCUUUCCCCCGAUGCCUUCCACUCCAGAGUAUGUGUUUAAUAACUGACAUGGCUUUUCUGUGUCCCCACCCAAAUCUCACUUUGAAUUGUAAUAAUCCCCACAUAUCAAAGGUGGGGCCAGGUGGAGAUAAUCGAAUCAUGGGGGUGGUUUCCCCCAUACUGUUGUCGUGGUAGUGAAUAAGUCUCAUGUGAUCUGAUGGUUUUAUAAAUGGGAGUUCCCCUGCACACGCACUCUUAACUGCUGCCAUGUAAGACAUAACUUUGCUCCUCAUUUGCCUUCUGCCAUGAUUGUGAGGCCUCCCUAGCCAUGUAGAACGGUGAGUCAAUUAAACCUCUUUUCUUCAUAAAUUAUCCAGUGGAUAUGGUUUGGCUGUGUCUCCACCCAAAUCUCAUCUUGAAUUGUAACUCUCACGAUUCCCAUGUGUCAUGGGAGGAACCUGGUGGGAGGUGAUUGAAUUAUGGGGUGAGUCUUUCCUGCACUGUUCUUGUGAUAUUGAAUGCGUAUCAUGAGAUCUGAUGGUUUUAAAAAUGGGAGUUUAUGUUUAAAAGCUCCCUGUUGCCUGCCUCCAUCCAUGUUGGAUAUGACCUGCUCCUCCUUGCCUUCUGCCAUGAUUGUGAGGCCUCCCCAGCCAUGUGGAACUAUAAGUCCAUUAAACUUCUUUUUCUUCCCA
Molecule: long non-coding RNA, 3095 nt
Filed under: Homo sapiens (human)
Lineage: Eukaryota; Metazoa; Chordata; Mammalia; Primates; Hominidae
Description: HSALNT0269312
Source: RNAcentral